GGACUACAGGGGUAUCUAAUCCUGUUUGAUACCCACACUUUCGUGCCUCAGCGUCAGUUAUAAUUUAGUAAGCUGCCUUCGCAAUUGGUGUUCUUGACAAUAUCUAUGCAUUUCACCGCUACACUGUCAAUUCCGCCUACCUCAAGUAUACUCAAGCUCAUCAGUAUCAAUGGCAGUUCUCCAGUUAAGCUGGAGGCUUUCACCACUGACUUAAUGAGCCGCCUACGCACCCUUUAAACCCAAUAAAUCCGGACAACGCUUGCACCCUCCGUAUUACCGCGGCUGCUGGCAC
This 292-nucleotide ribosomal RNA is filed under the name uncultured Bacteroidota bacterium. Its description in RNAcentral is "uncultured Bacteroidetes bacterium partial 16S ribosomal RNA". The record is from RNAcentral. Lineage: Bacteria; Pseudomonadati; Bacteroidota.